Non-coding RNA from Anas platyrhynchos (mallard), 996 nucleotides. NCBI's taxonomy places the organism in Eukaryota, Metazoa, Chordata, Aves, Anseriformes, Anatidae. The record is from RefSeq and is a predicted model, not a curated record.
GUUGGGUUGGUUGGGUUGGCAUUAAUUGUGUUGGAUGGUCUGGGGUCUUUUGGGUUGCUUGAUUGGUGUUGGACAUGUGCGCUGGUGGCAGACACCUGGGCUCGGUUGGGGUUCAGAAUGGGGUUGUGGGCAGACAUCUAGGAGGGCUGCGGGGGAAACACAGCCCCCUCCUCUGUCCUUCUGCCCCCUGCAAGCCCCCUGGCGCUGCCCCCCAGGAGCACUUCGGCCUCUGUUGAUGAGAACUGUUACGAGGACAUUGGUAGCACCUGGAUGUCAUCCGACAGCAUCGUCCUCAAGAACAAAAACGCCACCGAACCAGGUGACAGCCUACGGAGCUUCACGGCCUCACAGCAACGGGUGAACACCAACAUCCCGAUGCAGAUCACCAGACCCUCAGUGCGACCCCGGUUGUGACCCAGGUCUUCGCUGGCCCCUCCUCACCUCAUUGCCCACCAGCACUUCCAGGACCUUCUCAACGACGCUCAUUCCAAGGGCAACGUUGCCUCCUGCUCACCUUGGUGCCAACCAGAACUUCCAGAACCUUCUCAACGACGCUGAUUCCAAUAUCAUCGUUGGCUCCUCCUCACCUCAUUGCCCACCAGGACCUCCAGGACCUUCUCAAUGAUGCUGCUUCCAAGGACUUCGUUGCCUCCUGCUCACUGCAGCACCCACGGUAGUAAUGGGGCUGGGAACAAUUUGGGAAGACUCAGCCAGGACUCAACACUGGGAGACCCAACCAUGUCUGGAAAUGCUCUUGGAAGACCCAACCAAGGCUGGAGGCAAUCUGAAGGAUCCUGGUGGAGCCAGAAGCGGCCCAGCAGUGACUGGAAAUGGGCUUGGCAGGAGCCGGGCACGUUUAUUUGCUCAGCGAGAAGGAGGAGGAAAACCUCUUUUUUGCAGAUCCUGGCAGUGGGUGAUGGGACUCCCCGCCACCCCUUGGCCAUCCCACUUAGGGAUGGGCAAUCCCAAUAAAAAUUCUGUGCAUCCCCAAAAAAA